This 483-nucleotide ribosomal RNA is filed under the name uncultured bacterium. RNAcentral describes it as "partial 16S ribosomal RNA". It matches the Rfam family "Bacterial small subunit ribosomal RNA", at positions 28 to 523 of the family's 1533-position model. The record is from RNAcentral.
GACGAACGCUGGCGGCGUGCUUAACACAUGCAAGUCGAACGAUGAAGCCGGAGCUUGCUCCGGUGGAUUAGUGGCGAACGGGUGAGUAACACGUGAGCAAUCUGCCCUUGACUCUGGGAUAACUGCGGGAAACUGUAGCUAAUACCAGAUACGACACCUUGGGGCAUCCCAGGGUGUGGAAAGAAUUUCGGUCAAGGAUGAGCUCGCGGCCUAUCAGCUAGUUGGUGAGGUAAUGGCUCACCAAGGCGACGACGGGUAGCCGGCCUGAGAGGGUGACCGGCCACACUGGAACUGAGACACGGUCCAGACUCCUACGGGAGGCAGCAGUGGGGAAUAUUGCACAAUGGGCGAAAGCCUGAUGCAGCAACGCCGCGUGAGGGAUGAAGGCCUUCGGGUUGUAAACCUCUUUUAGCAGGGAAGAAGCGAAAGUGACGGUGCCUGCAGAAAAAGCACCGGCUAACUACGUGCCAGCCGCCGCGGUAA